Molecule: unclassified non-coding RNA, 236 nt
Filed under: Hevea brasiliensis (rubber tree)
Lineage: Eukaryota; Viridiplantae; Streptophyta; Magnoliopsida; Malpighiales; Euphorbiaceae
Source: RNAcentral
CAGCAGCAGCAUCAACAACAACAGCAGAAUAUACCACCAGUUUUUAUGCCAGGCCAUCCAAUUCAACAGCCUUUACCUGUUGUUGCUAACCCAAUUAUGGAUGCAACUUAUCCUGAAACUCAAGUGACAAUGUCUCCAGCUCAUAUAAUUGGAACACUAUCAGACACACAAACAUCUGGAAGAAAGCGAGUUGCUCCACGUGACGUCGCUGAAAAUAGUAUAGAAAGGAGGCAGAA